AAGUCGUAACAAGGUUUCCGUAGGUGAACCUGCGGAAGGAUCAUUAACGAAUAAACUCGGCGGGCUGCUGCUGGCUCUUCCGGGAGCAUGUGCACGCUCGUCGUCGUUUCUUCUUUCUCCACCUGUGCACCCUUGUAGGCCUUUGACACCGUUUCGAGAGUGUUUAACACCCUCGGUUUUUGAGGAGCUGUCGCUUUCAACGGUGACUUUCCUUGCGUCUUUGGCCUACGCACACACACAUACGCACCGUAUGCUCGAGUGACAGAACGUCUUUAUGGGGCCCUCUGCGGCCCUUCAAAACUUAUAUACAACUUUCAACAACGGAUCUCUUGGCUCUC
This 338-nucleotide unclassified non-coding RNA is filed under the name fungal sp. RNAcentral describes it as "partial internal transcribed spacer region". The stretch from base 1 to 46 matches the Rfam family "Eukaryotic small subunit ribosomal RNA", at positions 1786 to 1831 of the family's 1831-position model. Lineage: Eukaryota; Fungi. The record is from RNAcentral.